This is a small RNA of Paraburkholderia tropica, 154 nucleotides long. It matches the Rfam family "Burkholderia sRNA 7". Rfam says of the family: Did not show any change in expression in iron-depletion and hydrogen peroxide (oxidative stress) treatment. Lineage: Bacteria; Pseudomonadati; Pseudomonadota; Betaproteobacteria; Burkholderiales; Burkholderiaceae. The record is from Rfam.
GUAUUCUUGCGCCCAUGAACCGCCUCCUGUCCGCUCUCCGACGUCGCCGCUCGCCCCACCUUUAGGGCCUGGCUUAGUUACGGACGCGCGUUGCAUCGUUCAACGCACAGGAAAGUUCGAAUCACGAAAGCCACGGCCAGUCCGUGGCUUUUUG